GAUGAAGAACGCAGCGAAAUGCGAUAAGUAGUGUGAAUUGCAGAAUUCAGUGAAUCAUCGAAUCUUUGAACGCACAUUGCGCCCUUUGGUAUUCCAAAGGGCAUGCCUGUUCGAGCGUCAUUUGUACCCUCAAGCUUUGCUUGGUGUUGAGCGUCUUGUCUCUAGCUUUGCUGGAGACUCGCCUUAAAGUAAUUGGCAGCCGGCCUACUGGUUUCGGAGCGCAGCACAAGUCGCACUCUCUAUCAGCAAAGGUCUAGCAUCCAUUAAGCCUUUUUUUUCAACUUUUGACGUCGGAUCAGGUAGGGAUACCCGCUGAACUUAAGCAUAUCAAUAAGCGGAGGA
This 342-nucleotide unclassified non-coding RNA is filed under the name soil metagenome. Its description in RNAcentral is "partial contains 5.8S ribosomal RNA, internal transcribed spacer 2, and large subunit ribosomal RNA". The stretch from base 1 to 120 matches the Rfam family "5.8S ribosomal RNA", at positions 35 to 154 of the family's 154-position model. The record is from RNAcentral.